Molecule: ribosomal RNA, 301 nt
Filed under: uncultured bacterium
Lineage: Bacteria
Description: partial 16S ribosomal RNA
Rfam family: Bacterial small subunit ribosomal RNA
Source: RNAcentral
CAGUAGCCGCGGGAAUACGUAGGGUGCAAGCGUUAAUCGGAAUUACUGGGUGUAAAGCGUGCGCAGGCGGUUUGUUAAGACAGAUGUGAAAUCCCCGGGCUUAACCUGGGAACUGCAUUUGUGACUGGCGAGCUAGAGUAUGGCAGAGGGGGGUAGAAUUCCACGUGUAGCAGUGAAAUGCGUAGAGAUGUGGAGGAAUACCGAUGGCGAAGGCAGCCCCCUGGGCCAAUACUGACGCUCAUGCACGAAAGCGUGGGGAGCAAACAGGAUUAGAUACCCGCGUAGUCCCUGUCUCUUAUAC